GAAUGCUGACAUAAGUAACGAUAAAGCGGGUGAAAAGCCCGCUCGCCGGAAGACCAAGGGUUCCUGUCCAACGUUAAUCGGGGCAGGGUGAGUCGACCCCUAAGGCGAGGCCGAAAGGCGUAGUCGAUGGGAAACGGGUUAAUAUUCCCGUACUUGGUGUUACUGCGAAGGGGGGACGGAGAAGGCUAUGUUGGCCGGGCGACGGUUGUCCCGGUUUAAGCGUGUAGGUGUGUGUUCCAGGUAAAUCCGGUUCACUUUAACACUGAGGCGUGACGACGAGGCACUACGGUGCUGAAGCAACAAAUGCCCUGCUUCCAGGAAAAGCCUCUAAGCAUCAGGUAACACGAAAUCGUACCCCAAACCGACACAGGUGGUCAGGUAGAGAAUACCAAGGCGCUUGAGAGAACUCGGGUGAAGGAACUAGGCAAAAUGGUGCCGUAACUUCGGGAGAAGGCACGCUGACACGUAGGUGAAGUGAUUUACUCAUGGAGCUGAAGUCAGUCGAAGAUACCAGCUGGCUGCAACUGUUUAUUAAAAACACAGCACUGUGCAAACACGAAAGUGGACGUAUACGGUGUGACGCCUGCCCGGUGCCGGAAGGUUAAUUGAUGGGGUCAGCGCAAGCGAAGCUCCUGAUCGAAGCCCCGGUAAACGGCGGCCGUAACUAUAACGGUCCUAAGGUAGCGAAAUUCCUUGUCGGGUAAGUUCCGACCUGCACGAAUGGCGUAAUGAUGGCCAGGCUGUCUCCACCCGAGACUCAGUGAAAUUGAACUCGCUGUGAAGAUGCAGUGUACCCGCGGCAAGACGGAAAGACCCCGUGAACCUUUACUAUAGCUUGACACUGAACAUUGAGCCUUGAUGUGUAGGAUAGGUGGGAGGCUUUGAAGUGUGGACGCCAGUCUGCAUGGAGCCGACCUUGAAAUACCACCCUUUAAUGUUUGAUGUUCUAACGUGGACCCGUAAUCCGGGUUGCGGACAGUGUCUGGUGGGUAGUUUGACUGGGGCGGUCUCCUCCUAAAGAGUAACGGAGGAGCACGAAGGUUGGCUAAUCCUGGUCGGACAUCAGGAGGUUAGUGCAAUGGCAUAAGCCAGCUUGACUGCGAGCGUGACGGCGCGAGCAGGUGCGAAAGCAGGUCAUAGUGAUCCGGUGGUUCUGAAUGGAAGGGCCAUCGCUCAACGGAUAAAAGGUACUCCGGGGAUAACAGGCUGAUACCGCCCAAGAGUUCAUAUCGACGGCGGUGUUUGGCACCUCGAUGUCGGCUCAUCACAUCCUGGGGCUGAAGUAGGUCCCAAGGGUAUGGCUGUUCGCCAUUUAAAGUGGUACGCGAGCUGGGUUUAGAACGUCGUGAGACAGUUCGGUCCCUAUCUGCCGUGGGCGCUGGAGAACUGAGGGGGGCUGCUCCUAGUACGAGAGGACCGGAGUGGACGCAUCACUGGUGUUCGGGUUGUCAUGCCAAUGGCACUGCCCGGUAGCUAAAUGCGGAAGAGAUAAGUGCUGAAAGCAUCUAAGCACGAAACUUGCCCCGAGAUGAGUUCUCCCUGAGACUUAGAG
RNAcentral lists this ribosomal RNA (1552 nucleotides) under Salmonella enterica. RNAcentral describes it as "partial 23S ribosomal RNA". It matches the Rfam family "Bacterial large subunit ribosomal RNA", at positions 1292 to 2824 of the family's 2925-position model. The record is from RNAcentral. Lineage: Bacteria; Pseudomonadati; Pseudomonadota; Gammaproteobacteria; Enterobacterales; Enterobacteriaceae.